Molecule: ribosomal RNA, 441 nt
Filed under: uncultured bacterium
Lineage: Bacteria
Description: bacterial SSU rRNA
Rfam family: Bacterial small subunit ribosomal RNA
Source: RNAcentral
UCGAGAAUCUUCCGCAAUGGACGAAAGUCUGACGGAGCGAUGUCGCGUGAUUGAUGAAGCGCUUCGGCGCGUAAAAAUCUUUUAUCGGGGAGAAAAUCCGCCGCAAGGCGGAUGUGAUAGUACUCGAUGAAUAAGGGGUUGCUAAACUCGUGCCAGCAGCAGCGGUAAUACGAGUGCCCCAAGCGUUAUCCGGAAUUACUGGGCGUAAAGGGUGUGUAGGCGGCUUGAUUAGUCGGUGGUUAAAGCUCCGGGCUUAACCCGGGAAGUGCCAUCGAAACGGUCAAGCUAGAGGAGGUGAGGGGUCCGUGGAACUCAUGGUGUAGGGGUGAAAUCCGUUGAUAUCAUGGGGAACACCAAAAGCGAAGGCAGCGGACUGGCGCCUUACUGACGCUGAAACACGAAAGCGUGGGGAUCAAACGGGAUUAGAUACCCCCGUAGUCC